UAGCCGCGAUUUCUGUGCUAAGGUAGCAUAAUCAUUUGUUUUAUAAUUAAAAACUAGAAUGAAUGGAAUAACGUUUAAAUUUCUUUAUUUUUUCUAUAUAAUAAAAUUAUAUUAAAUAUAAAAAUAUAUUUAUAUAUCAAAUAGACGACAAGACCCUAUUGAACUUCACUUUAGUUAAGCUGGGGCAGCUAAAUAAUUAAAAUCUUAAUAUCUUAUAUUAUAAAAAUUAUCCUUUAUAAAUGAUUAUUUAAACAAGUUACCUUAGGGAUAACAGCGUAAUAUUAUUAUAAAGUUCUUAUUUAAUAUAAUGAUUGCGACCUCGAUGUUGAAUUAUUAUUUCUUUAUAACGCAAUAGUUAUACAUUAGUGGGUCUGUUCGACCCUUAAUAUUUUACA
RNAcentral lists this ribosomal RNA (395 nucleotides) under Ameridion sp. MAA-2007. RNAcentral describes it as "partial 16S ribosomal RNA". It matches the Rfam family "Bacterial large subunit ribosomal RNA", at positions 1934 to 2600 of the family's 2925-position model. Lineage: Eukaryota; Metazoa; Arthropoda; Arachnida; Araneae; Theridiidae. The record is from RNAcentral.